CCAAAUUUCCGUAGUGGCAGAGUUAAUGCUUAGAAGUUAAGAUUCUAAUAUGUGCCCCAGCACC
RNAcentral lists this transfer RNA (64 nucleotides) under Gordius sp. VVA-2019. RNAcentral describes it as "tRNA-Leu". The record is from RNAcentral. Lineage: Eukaryota; Metazoa; Nematomorpha; Gordioida; Gordea; Gordiidae.